RNAcentral lists this long non-coding RNA (21951 nucleotides) under Phoenix dactylifera (date palm). RNAcentral's name for it is "long non-coding RNA (PDAC_LNC002335)". Lineage: Eukaryota; Viridiplantae; Streptophyta; Magnoliopsida; Arecales; Arecaceae. The record is from RNAcentral.
UCUUCUUCCCCUUCCUCCUCCUCACCCUCUCCCACGCCGCCACCUUCAACGUCGUCAACCAAUGUUCCUACACCGUGUGGGCUGCAUGGGCAGCCACCGGCAACGUCGGCGGCGGCCAGCAGCUCAGCCAAGGCCAGACCUGGACGGUCACCAUCAACGCCGGCACCACCGGUGGCCGCAUCUGGGCUCGUACUGGCUGCUCCUUCGAUGCCAACGGCAACGGGAACUGCCAGAGUGGCGACUGCGGCAAGCUCGCCUGCACCUCCUACGGCUCCGCACCCAACACCCUCGCGGAAUUCGCCCUCAACCAGUACCAGAACCUCGACUUCAACGACAUCUCCCUCGUUCAGGGCUUCAACGUGCCCAUGGACUUCCGCUCCACCUCGUCGGACUGCAGCAUGGAUAUCCAAUGCACCGCCGACGUCGUUGGGCAGUGCCCCAGCGCGCUCAAAGUUGCCGGCGGCUGCGAUGACCCAUGUACCAUCUUCAACACUCCUCAGUACUGCUGCCCUUCCGGCUCCAGCUGCGAGCCAACCACCUAUUCCGAGUUCUAUAAGGGCCUGUGCCCGAAUGCGUUUAGCUACCCGGAUGAUUAUGUCAACACCAGCUUCACCUGCCCCGGUGGGAGCAACUACCAGGUUACCUUCUGCCCUUGAGGCUUUGAGAGCAUGGUCAUCCAUGCAUGACGCUGUUUCGAGUAUGUGAUAGCUUUGGAAUAAGGUGUUUGUAACCAAAUUUACGAGCCAUUAAACUGGCCUGUGAUGCGUGCAGCAUUAUUGGAAUUAUAGAAAUAAUUGUUUACUGUUAGUAAAUGCACUCUCCAUCUUCAAUAUCUUAUGGAUGACUACAAAAAUAAGAAAAUGGUAUAGCAAGUUGCUCUAUUCGGCAAUACAUCUCCUCUCCAGUAUGGCGCUAGCGUAAUAUCUGGUAAAUGGACCAAUUCCAGCGAUCACUGGCCCCAUCAGUUGCACCAUCCCCUUUUGCCCUGUGGAACAAGAAAUCCUGGAGUUAAUGCCUAGAAGUUGAUCUAACAAAGUGAAUCACCACAAAAUUCUUUCACCGGUCAACUGCUGGUGUAUUAUAAGUAGUUAUACGAACUGAGAGAAACUAUUUGGAAAGUUCGGAAGAUAAUGUCUUUUAAUUUUUGAGUGAGAGACUUGGGCCGAGCGUAGUCCAAUAUACUAAAAUAAAACAGAGUGCAAACGGUGACAUUUCUGAUUUCACCACCCCCGGGCCUCUUGAUUCUUACUAAGGCAGAAUUCAUUCAUGAUAUCUUUUAAUGAUUGUCAAAACUCACAUAUGCAAGUAAUUAAUAUUUUAAUAGAUCCUUAUUGAAUUUGAUUUAACUCUAAGACAGAAUUUCCCAACAUGCUGAAUGGAACCUCGGGGCAUAAUAGCGAUGGGAUUGGGAGGUAAUAAAAAACAAUACAAUUAAAACACAACAGAAUCAACAACUCUCCCACCUCAUGUAAACCUGUUAGGAAAUAAAUAAUGCUGCAACAAUAGAGCAAUAAAAACGUUGGAUAAUUGUUUACUGUUAGUAAAUGCGCUCCUCCAUGUUCGGUAUCGUAUGGAUGACUAAUUACAGAGGGAAAAGACGAGAAUACUAUGGCAAGUUGCACUAUCUAUUCGGCAAUCCAUUUCCUAUCAGAUAUGGCACUAUCUAAACGUCUAGGAAAUGGCCCAAGUCCAACGAUCACUGACCCCAUCAAUCGCACCAUCCCCCUUUGACAUGUUGGAUAAGAAAUACAGGAGCAAAACGCAUCGAAGCUGAUCUUGCAAAUUGAAUCACUCCAAAAUACUUUCAUUAAUCUAUUGCUGUUCCAAUAUUAAUUAUUUACAUGAACUAAGAGAAACUAUUGGGAAACUCUAGAGAAGAUACAUCCAUGUAUUUUUUUUAUUUUAUGACCGAAAGACUUGGGUUGAGUCUAAUCCAAUUUAUUAAAUUAAAAUAAAGUACAAACGGUUNNNNNNNNNNNNNNNNNNNNNNNNNNNNNNNNNNNNNNNNNNNNNNNNNNNNNNNNNNNNNNNNNNNNNNNNNNNNNNNNNNNNNNNNNNNNNNNNNNNNNNNNNNNNNNNNNNNNNNNNNNNNNNNNNNNNNNAUAUAUAUAUAUAUAUAUAUAUAUAUAUAUAUAUAAACAUCUUCCGUGUGUUACCUUCUAUCAUAUAUGGAACGUCGGGUCCCUGUUGCUUACAAACAGGUGCUCUGGCCAAGCCGAAUAAUAUUGGAUUUAGUAUCCUCUGUACAGGAUUAUUAAGUUGGUCACGAGGAAAAAUUUCAUCGUGCAUCAAGAUUUUGGAUAACCUUCGCAACAAAGUAUGCUCCAUUUGACGAUUAGAUUGCACUAAUCCCAGAAGCCCAUGGAGGAAGUUUCUCAGAACUUGAAUUCUCUGUAAGUCAAGUUGCAAUAGCUCACGUACUUAAAUCAGUUGAAGUAUGAAAGUGGAAUUGGUGUUGUGUGGGAGGAUGCAGAGAAGCAUAUAAGACGGUCAGUUUGGUGUUUCCAGAUAAUUUCCACGGACGUAGCGGUGGUUUUCCACUUCUACCAGCUAUUUCUCAGCAGACCUUUCGGGACUUCCAUCGAAGGACACUGUCAAGUUAGGCAAAUGGAUAACUUUCAAGGUUGUCUGCAUCAGCAGUCCAAACACUUGGAAGACGCAAGUAGGGAUGUUCACACGGAUGAUUUUUCUUAGCUCAUAAUUACCAUGCGCCUUACACGCAUCCAAAAUUUAUUUCUACAUGGUGAAGAUAUGUACAUGUUCUGAAAAUGGAUACAAGUGUGUCAGGUUGGAUUAGGAUUUGGCUUAGUCUGGAAAUGCAUAUAUUAAUUGUUGGAGUUUUAAUUUAUGAAAAGAUUUAAAUUUUAAAAAUAAAAAAUCAAUCUUAUUUCAUAUUUAUCAGUUGCUUCAAAAGUUUUAAAACUUUUUGUAUUUUUAGUCUAGCAUCAGAUUUGUGAAAGCAAGAAUGAAAAUCCUGUAUCCUUGGUUGACAACCGUGCGCCAUACUCACUGAACCUGCAUCCUCGGUGUUUUUUUGGCCUGCACCUCUUUUGAUGCAUCAAUCUUUUAAUCUUAGCUGAUCUAGAUGUGAUGUAACACAUCCCAUCAGGUGACGAUUACAAAGGUGAUAGGAUGUACCUUGAAGAAUCUGAUAGAGGCAAGAUUUAAACUUAUCCAAUGGAUAGAAACCAUGGAGGCUCUAGUGAAGGUAAGAUCAAUCACCGUGCUUGCCUAGCAGUCCAUUGAUAAAGUAGAUAUGACUGAGCAGGUUGCUCCCUAGCAUAUAGAUUUGGCAUGACUACAUAUGAAGAUGACGUGAUGGUAUCCUCGAAAGUAGUUGCCCCCUGCCCUCGAAAUAAGAGUAGGCUACAUUGCAAGCUGGUUGAACUGUUGUUCUUCAUCCACUAGUACUUAAAAAUAUCUAACUUUGGCAAAAGUGACUGGAGUCAACAUGAUUCCAUCGACUUCUCUCUUAGCUACCAUUUGCAAAAAUCAAGUUAGUUGAGGCCCAUCUCGGGCUUGUAUAUUGGCCUAAUAUUGACCAAAGCCUUAUUGACUGUCUAUUUGAUAUGAUUUGCUCUUGCAUUAACCUGCAGGACCUCCUUGUCUCAGCCUAUAGAUUCCAAAAGCUCCAUAAGAAAAUUUUCGGGCUCUUCCCCCUGAUGAGCCUAACUCGGAUUCUUCAUAUACUACAAUACUUCCCAGUAAAAUGGACUCAUCUUCCAUGAAGAUAGGAUCGAUUUCUUCUUCUACAGGAUAUACUAGAAUGUACUGUGAUUUGGUGCAUCAGCUUCCUUCUUUUUCAGAGCGAGACUCCCCAGGAAAGGUCAUGUUUAAUUAGUUCAAAGUAAGCAUGGAAACAGAUCUUUCAAUCCAUUCCACUAUCGAAGCCGAAGAUGCUGCAUAACGAUCCAAAAGUGGUCUUAGUAUAGAGGCCGCUUUCUAUGCCGUUGCUUCCUUAACUUCCUUCCAUAGUGGUAUAGUGGCAAUUACAUGAUUAUGUCACUAGAACUAAUAUGACAAUGACUACGUAUGGCUUCACUAAUACUAGGGUUCCACUAAUACAUAGGGUUACACAAUUAAGUCGGACCCAUCUUGGAUUCUAAGAACGACAAUGAUGACUCGAUUGCACUAGGUCCUCCUGAUUUUCCAUUGCAUAAGUCUAAUGUGGCGGUUGUUGCAGCUACGGUUGUUGCUGCUGUUGGUUAGUGACCAUCUACUAUAAAUUCUAGGGCGGCGGCGGUCAGCGAUUGAACCUGCUGCAUGAGCAGACUAAACUAUUCACUGGUGGUCGACGGGUCAGGCUGUGGCUCUUGCUGGGGAGCCCUCCGAGAGCUCUAUAAAAAGCCAUUAGACUCCAUGACUGCAUCCUAUUGGGCAAUUGCAGUCGCUACCUAGGUUUUCUUAACUUCAUAGCUGUGUGUCGUCCACUUGAUCGAUCAGACCUCCAAAGAUAGAAUCAUAACCCUUCCACUAGCCCCAAUCUAUUGCCGCUAGGAACUAGUCCAACCUAGGCACUGAGUUGGUGGGGAUCGCAAAGAUCUCAGCUCGUUUGUCGUCCAGAUCAGAGAAAUCAGAUGAGAUCGUUGCAUGUCUCCACGGUAAUGUUCCAGUGGUUGUUGCACUCGAUCAAUGGUGAUCCCGAUGUCGAACACUCACGAGUCGGUAUUGUAUGAUGGAGGAACGGCUUCAUGCGAUGCUCUGACGUAGGCUCCAACCUGAAACGGUAAAAAUAAAGAAGUCCACACACUGGAGCAUAUUCGAUGGGGAUCCUUCGAUGCCCAAGUCAGACACAACUCAAAAAGAAUGGGAGGAGGCCUGAGAUGGGAGAGAGGAAGCACAAGAGAGUCGAAAGAGAGCUUGUACGGAGGGUCUUCAUAAAUGCAAUACAUAGAUAAGGAUCGAAGCCCGCCGCCAAGUAAUUUGGAGCUAUAUAUAUGCUAGUUGAUGAGGCAAUAAGUUUUUAUUGGUUAGUUUGUUUCAUCAGCAUGGAUCAAUUCGGAGAUAAAUGAUCCUAAAUAGGUUGGUUUUGAAUGAAAAUAAAUUUUUGCCUAGAUUUCUUUUCCAGGCUAUGAAAAUCCAUGAGGAUCGUAGAGUCUGUCCCUGGCCUUUCAGGGAAAGGGUCCAUCCAAAUCCUGCCGCAGAUUAGAACUCUUGCAAUACAUAAAGAUGAUGAAUUUUUAUUGAUUGGUUUGUCUUAUCAGCAUGAAUCAAUUGUAAAAUAAAUGAUUUUUAAUUGGUUGGUUUUUUGAAAAUAAAUUUUUGUCCAGAUUCUUUUUCCUAGGCUGUGAAAAUUUUUGAGGAUCUAAUAAUUGUCUGUCUUUUUUUCGUACAGUCAGUCCCCUGAAAGGUCCAUCCAAAUCCUGCCGCAUAUUCGAACCCUUGUAAUGGUUAUCCAGUUAGUGGAUGGCUUAGAAAUUUUUCAGAUGACGUCGUUCACUCGCAGGCUUGCGCGCAGUACCAUCUGAGAAUAAAAUGCCGUCGGCUUGCCCGUAACCUCUCUCUCUCUCUCUGUCUUUGUCUGCUGGCCAAAUUUUUCCAUGCUAUAAGGACCCGCUGAGAGACGUCAUGAAGAUAACGCAUGAAAUUUUUCAAACGAUGACGACAAUAGUCUCCAAUGCUAUUGGGACACCUCCGGCUCAGAGGCAUUAUGGAAGACGACGCAUGGCACUUUUCCAACAAUGACAGGCAGUUUAGUCUCCAACCGCGUAGUGAUCCCCUUCUCGGCAAGAUAGCUCAUAUGUGAAAGCAGUAGAGUAUAGCGUACUGCUCGCGCCGUGAGCUUACAGAAUAACUUGACAUUUAUAUACAUAGAAAAGCCUCCUACGUACUUUAAUGUAACAUUAAAUUCCGUUGCACUUGCGUAGACGGGAAAGCAUACAAGUUGGAUGAUCAAGGAUGAUACUUGAGAUCUGGGCGCGGAAUGUAUUUGCAGAAAUUUUCUAUUAGGAAGAGCAUUUUUCAAUGGUUGGGUUAAAAAUUCUAUUAAAUUCAUAUGUUGGGCCAGUACAAUGAACAUGAUCAAAAAUAUCCAAAAAUAGUUUUGGAGCGAGUUGGCCUAAAUUUUAUAAGAAAAAAAAACUCAGUAGGUCUAGUCUGGCCUCUAAUUCUGUAAUUUUGCUGAUUGUAAUGAUCCAACCCAUAAAUUUAAUAGGAUUUUCAGUCUACUCAUUCAGACAGGUCCUUCCAUGUGGUGCCGACUUUUGAGGUACAUGCGAGGACACCAUGGUCAAGCUCUGUUCAUGGAAAACAUCAACGUGAGUUAAUUAGCAUCAGAUACCUGUGACUUAUGAAUGGGAGGAUGCUGAGCUGUGGAGAUGGAUGGGUCAUGAAUUAUUAACUUGCUAGUUAUUUACUAAGGCUCAUAAUGGAUCACUACAUGAUUUGUUCAAGAGCAAAUUUGCAUAUAUGACAUCAAGAGUAUCACGAGCUUUCCUUUCUUUUGCGAGAACACGGUGAUUAUUACUUAAGUUUGAGUUCGAAAUGUAUACAUGACCUAACAUGGUAUUUCGUACAAGUAUGUUACAUACGGCACUCAAUAUUUUUUCUAAAUUAUUUUACAGUUUACUAAAUAUACUAUGAAAUAUACUCGUUAUGAUAUUUUUUUUAAUAAUUUGAGACUUUUCAAUACCUCAAGCAGAAACACAAAUUUAAUUAUUCUAAAGCCCAAAGAAAGGUCUGCAGUCCUCAAUAGCUUACUCCCUGGGAGGCUUCCCCUGCUUUGGUUCUGUUCUAUAGAUAUUAACAAAAAUAAAAUAUAAAGAUAUAGAUUUUGUAUUUUAAAUAUAAAGUGUGGAAUAAGAGAAUAUUUCUUACCAAAUAUGUUACACACAGAAAUAGUUGCAGUAUAUGUAACAAGAAAUAGUGGUCAAAUUUUAAUAAGUUAGAAAGUGAAUUGAGCAUACAAAAAAUUUUAGACUCAUGAAUUAGGUAUAGGUAAAAAAAAAAAAAAUCAAGAUUCAGAUUUUAAGGUGUACCUCAAGAUUGUGUAUAGUGUUUUUUUCUUUUUGGGCUAAAAUCUCUUAUCAUAUAUAUAUAUAUAUAUAUAUAUAUAUAUAUAUAUAUAUAUAUAUAUAUAUAUAUAUANNNNNNNNNNNNNNNNNNNNNNNNNNNNNNNNNNUUAUGGAGGUUAUUAAUAUCUAAGAAUCAUGCUUAUCUAAGAGUUUGAUUUUAUUCAAAAUCAUUUAUUAUUGUUUUUAUGAUCGACAUUAUAUCAUAAAGAAUAAUUCAACUAGCAACAUUCCAAAAAUUGUUCCUAUGACAUUUCAAACUUUCACUUUUUCAUAUAUUUUAAACUUUUAAAAUAUUUACUUAUGCAAUUAUGGUAAAGAAAAUGUAUGUCAUAUCCAUUUCCUCAAAAAAGGUAUAAUGUAAAGUGUGAAGCCGACCCUCUGUAAAUGGCAUUUAAGUUACUACAUAAAAUAAAAGCACAAAAAGUUUUAUAUGAAUGAACUAAGAAAUAUUCAAUAAUUUGAGAAGUACAUUAUAUUAUAUAAAAAUCAUUCAAAUAAUAAAGCAAAGAUACCAUGCAUGGAAAUCUGAUUUAUGAAAACAAAUAAAGUUAGUAGUAAAGAAUAUAUAAUUAGAUACUAAAAAUAUCCGUAGUAUGUUGGGUCAAUUAUUUUAUGAUUUUCUAGAUUUUUUUGAAUUUUUAUAAGCAGCAUUUUUUCAUAAUUUUUUAUUUAUAAUAUCCACAAGAAAGUCCAAUCAGUUUUAACCACUGAAACAAAAACAGAGCGGGAAAGCUUAAAUGGAAUUUUUGUUGAUGAUUUAGUUAAACAAUUUUAGUUGAUCCAUUGAUAUAACAUAUUUGGAUAACUUUAAUAUAUUUAGAUAAUUUUUACAUAUUUAUAUGAUUUAUAAUCCAUCUUUUUUUUUGAAUUUAGCAUGUAAAAAAUUUGAAUUUUGUGCAUACAAAUUUGAAUUAUGUGGCUUAUUUGAAUUUGAUUUAAUAUGCUUCGUUUAUUUUUUUGUGCAUAUAUGCGAUUUUUUAUACAAAUUUUUCUUUGUAACAUACAUAACUUCACAAAAUGUCACGCUUUUUUUUUGUAGAAAAUUUCUUUUUUGACAUGACUUCCAAAAAUGUCUCUAUUUUUUUUGAAUUGCGGAGAGGGGUUGUGUUUUUUCUUUCUUUUCCAUUUAAUUGGUAUAGAGAUAACCUUAUAACGAGGCAUUAGAAUCCUCUGGGUAGGUUGUAGAAAAUUCUUAACUGCAACUAAGCCAUGUGUCAGAUUUAUAUUUGUCGUUUGAUCAACUAUAUCGAGUGCAUCUAGAAGAUCAAGUAAGUUGGUUUCGAAUGAAGAUAAACUUGGCUCUUCUUGACUUUAUCCUUAGGUUGGCAAUCGUCCACUCUAAGUUGAACAGGUUUGAAACCAUCCUAAUCCUUUCUUUUUUAUUUUUCUUUUUCUUUCUUUUUCUUUUUCUUUUCUUAGCAAAAGGGAAGAGUGGAGUGAGGAGAACCUCACCCGCAUAGCAACCCCCAUUGGGUCCUCUCCCUGCUCGAGAAUAUUUAAUACGGGUAGAACCUUUUUUACUCAUACCCUCCCCACCCGUGGUAGAGUCCCACCAGCAUGGCAGCCCUGCCCUCGUGUGAGUAGUGACACCAACACCACCUAAGUAAACGGUAGAUCAGAUAGCGACUCUACCGGACAAAUCAAGCAGGGAGCAUCCGGUCCUCAUAUUUAAUCGAUGUCCGCACAUUUCGAACUUGAGCCAUUCCGGUGGAAUCAAAAUGCCAUUCCCACAGUGCUACCAUCUCGGUGGUGCCUUCCUAAUCAUCUGGUGGACUAGAAGUGUUGUCCUGAUGAUCCUAAUAACUAGUGCAUGACUUUAAUUUUAUCAUAGUCUUGCAUACUUGCUUUGGAAGGUAAUGCAUGGGAGAUUUUUCAACAAUGACGACAUUUGAAUAAUCUCCGGCAACGUUUUGUUCCCGUCGCCUGCAUCCCAAGACUCCUUCAACAGAGUCACGAGAAAAUUGGGAGGGCAUGCGAGACUUAUCCCUGGAAGACGUUUCCACACUUGACCUGCUUUUUGCCCGAAAGAACUUAACGAAGUCAUCAUUAAAAAAGAUGACUACAUGGCAGGGGAAUAGAAAAACUCGUUCAUUCAUAAAUGCAGCAUUGCUAAAUUCAGUUGUACCUACCGACAAGCACAAGCUCGCGAACUAAGGUUUUUUUUUUUUUUUUUUUGUUCCUGAUGAUCCUAACCAGCAUGGUUAGCCACGUAAGUGGCCACCCAAUCUGCAGCUCCGUCAGCUUCUCUAAACACAUGCUUCACCUGGAUAUUCCUUUCGUCCCUCAUCAUCAUUCAGAUAUCGCGAAGCAAAGAAUGGUCACCAGCAGCGACCCUCAGACCUCUCUGGAUCUAGGUGAUGACCGUAGCCGAGUCACCCUUCAAGAUGACCGACCCAACUGAGAGCACACACUGAGCAUAUCGAAGGCCCGCCCAGGCUGCCCUUAGCUCUGCACCAGAAAUCGUGCAGUCAAAUAAUUGACAGCCUCCCACUGCCACGACCCUGAAGUUCGGAUCCCUAAUGAUGAAAUCCGCUCCACCAUUAGCGCCUCCAUCCAGCACCGACCCAUAAAAAUUGACCUUGAGGAAACUACGGGGUAGGGGCUUCCAGGUGAAAAACAUCAUACGAGGAGCUGCAGAGGCAGAAUGGGAACCCCAGAUAUCCCAAGCUGUCCAAGGUCCUUCUAAGGAGGAAGCAUGACUAAUCUUUGCCGCCUGCGCCGAGGCACUCUUUGCCACAAGCCUUGGCGACUUGCUGUGCUCACCAAAGGUUUGAGCAUUUCUUGCCAGCCAUACCUGGUAUGCUAUGCAAGUCGUCCUAACCGCCUCCUGGCGUGUCAGUGGGUUACCCGACCACCUACGAAUGGUCCAUAAGAACUGAUCCCCCUUAGACUAACUCUUCCGCAGCAGCACCGCUGCACUCCACGCCGCCCUAGCUCAUGUGCACUGAAACACUACGUGGUCCACCGACUCAUCGGCACCGCAUGCCCCACACUCAGGGGGUAGCCUCAGUCCCCGUCCGCUGAGUACUGCUCUCGUCGGAAGCCGAUCCCAGACGACAUUCCAUAAGAACAGUAUAACCCUCGAGUGGAGACCUAGGCGUCAGACCCAGGCACACUCCGGACCUAGCUCAUGAUCAGGCCGGAGCACUCGGAAGAGCUCUCCCACCCUAAUGCAGGUACUACACAACGUGCUCCACACCUGAGUAUCAGGACCACAUACCUCGGAAUCGGAAGAGACCGGACCCUCUCAGUUAGGUGUGUCCCAAAUAUUUGACCCAACCUAGCCUCAUCCAUAGCAGCCUUGCCAAGGUCAAGGAGGUCGCAAACCUGCAGUCCUCCACUACCUCAAUAUCAACCGUAGUCAACCAGAGUCUCCAAGGGAGGGCAACCACCCAUGGGUCGCCAACCACAUCGAUACUCCGCCCAUCACCUGUCAACCAUAUAGGAUUCUCCAUAACUGUUGGUAGAAAUCUUGCGAUCUCUCGCCACAUGAAUGGGCAACGAUUUGUACUGUGGAUCACCCCUACAUUACCCGUUCGGCCAUAUCUGGCAGCGAUGGUCUGACUCCAAAACCCCUGCAGCUCUAGCGUGAAUUGAGCUGCAUGUCGGGCAAACAACGGCUCGCGCCUCUCCAAAAGAGACAGCACACCAAGGCUUUCCUUACUCAACGGUAGGCAGAUACUCUCCCAUGCCACUAAAUGCACCCCAUGACCCCCUCCAUACAACCCCCAUAGGAAGCUUCGAAGUAGUCUCUCGAUCCUCAUCAGCACCAUUUUCGAAACCACCGUGUUUGCCAUUAGGUAGACAAGCAUGGAACCUAGCACUGAUCUAAUCAGCGUCAAUCUACCCAUCAUAGAAAGCGAAGACACCCUCCAGCACUCCAGUCUACUCUGAAUCUUCUGCACCAGACCGGUGCACUCGGCUACCCGCAGCCUCCUACCCGUAAUGGAUACUCCCAGGUAGCUCCAGGUCCCAUCCUAUACCAGCAUCUUCAGUAUUCCCCGAAUCUUCUGUCUGACCCUAUACUCCAUGCUAGAGCUGAAGGAGAUGGUUGACUUCUGGAGGUUUACCUUCUGCCCUGACACUGCGUAGUACUUCGCUAAUAUUCUUCUAAGCACUCGUGCAUCCGCUGCCCGCGCAUUGACUAGGAGAAGACAAUUAUCUGCGAACAAUAAGUAUGAUAUAGGUCAAGACCCUGGGUCUAACUGGGUCGGGUCACGAGUCGACCCAACCCAUUUGUAGCCUUAUUUCUACUUAAUAGGUACCUAAAAAUAGAGAUAGAUAUUGAAAUAUUUAAUCAAAAAAAAUGUAUAUAAAAAUAAUAGAAAUAAUGAAAGAAAAAUUCUAACUUAUUGCUAAUGUAUCUUCUUAAGUUUGAAGACUCCAAAUAAAAUUCUUACUAUUUGGACAGUUUUUUUUAAAAUUUUUUUUUCAUGCAGUCUUCAUAUUUUCCUUUUUUUUGUUUGGUUUUCUCUACAAAUUUCUUUCAAUUUUUACAAAAUUUUGGUGAAAGCACUAACCCACUCUCUUUUUUCCGUUUAAUAGGUACGGAGACAUAGAGAUUAUUAUUUUAUCUUAAUUAUUAAAUUAAUAGCUUUCUACAUACACAAAAUAAAAUAAAUUAACUUUUAAUGUUAUCGGGGUUGUUGGAAUCAGCAGUCCAAACACUUGGAACACGCAAUUAGGGAUGUUGACACGGAUGAUUUUUCAUUAGCUCAUAGCCACUGAUCGAAUCAUGUACCUGGGACUUCCACCAAAGGACACGGUCAAGAAAGACAAAAACGCCUCCUCCUCAGCCUACCCUCCCCCAUCGCCCUAUAAAUACUCUUACUGCCCAUCCCGCAACCCCACACAAUCCUCAACCAGAGAGCCAUCUUCCUGGGUAUCAAAAUGGCCUCCUCGACCUCCCUCACUCUCCUCUUCUUCCCCUUCCUCCUCCUCACCCUCUCCCACGCCGCCACCUUCAACGUCGUCAACCAAUGUUCCUACACCGUGUGGGCUGCAUGGGCAGCCACCGGCAACGUCGGCGGCGGCCAGCAGCUCGACCAAGGCCAGACCUGGACGGUCACCGUCAACGCCGGCACCACCGGUGGCCGCAUCUGGGCCCGUACUGGCUGCUCCUUCGAUGCCAACGGCAACGGGAACUGCCAGAGCGGCGACUGCGGCAAGCUCGCGCGCCUGCACCUCCUACGGCUCCGCACCCAACACCCUCGCGGAAUUCGCCCUAAACCAGUUCCAGAACCUCGACUUCAACGACAUCUCCCUCGUUCAGGGCUUCAACGUGCCCAUGGACUUCCGCUCCACCUCGUCGGACUGCAGCCAAGAUAUCCAAUGCACCGCCGACGUCGUUGGGCAGUGCCCCAGCGAGCUUAAAGUGCCCGGCGGCUGUGAUGACCCAUGCACCAUCUUCAACGCUCCUCAGUACUGCCCCCCUAACGGCUCCAGCUGCGAGCCAACCACCUAUUCCGAGUUCUUUAAGAGGCUGUGCCCGAAUGCGUUUAGCUACCCAGAUGAUUAUGUGAACACCAGCUUCACCUGCCCCGGUGGGAGCAACUACCAGGUUACCUUCUGCCCUUGAGGCUUUGAGAGCAUGGUGAUCCAUGCAUGACGCUGUUUCGAGUAUGUGAUAGCUUUGGAAUAAGGUGUUUGUAACCAAAUUUACGAGCCAUUAAACUGGCCUGUGAUGCAUGCAGCAUUAUUGGAAUUAUAGAAAUAAUUGUUCACUGUUAGUAAAUGCACUUCUCCAUCUUCAAUAUCUUAUGGAUGACUACAAAAAUAAGAAAAUGGUAGAGCAAGUUGCUCUAUUCGGCAAUACAUUUUCUCUCCAGUAUGGCACUAGCGUAAUAUCUGGUAAAUGGACCCACUCCAGCGAUCACUGACCCCAUCAAUUGCACCAUCCCCUUUUGACCUGUGGAACAAGAAAUCCUGGAGUUAACGCCUAGAAGUUGAUCUAACAAAGUGAAUCACAACAAAAUUCUUUCACUCGUCAACUGCUGUUGUAUUAUAAGUAUUUAUACGAACAGAGAGAAACCAUUUGGAAAGUCCGGAAGAUGAUGUUUUUUAAUUUUUGAGUGAGAGGCUUGGGCCGAGCGUAGUCCAAUAUACUAAAAUAAAACAGAGUGCAAACGGUGACAUUUCACCACCCCCAGGCACCUUGAUUAAUUCUUACUAAGGCAGAAUUCAUUCAUUAUAUCUUUUAAUGAUUGUCAAAACUCAUAUAUGCAAGUAAUUAAUAUUUUAAUAGAUCCUUAUUGAAUUUGAUUUAACUAUAAAACAGAAUCUCCCAACAUGCUGAAUGGAACCUCGGGGCAUAAUAGCGAUGGGAUUGGGAGGUAAUAAAAAACAAUACAAUUAAAACACAACAGAAUCAACAACUCUCCCACCUCGUGCAAACAUGUUAGGAAAUAAAUAACUAAAGCCAAUCCAUCUAAUAUAUAUAUCAUAGAUAUUCACAAAUACCUAGCUGAUCAAAUUAUCAAAAACAUAAAAGCAACACUAAAUUUUACGUCGAAAAUUAAACCUCCCAAUAUGGAGAGUAAAAACAACGGGACCGUAGUCCACCCAAAAACUUUCACUAUCAACCAAGAAUGGAUAUUACAAUCUAUUCUCUCUAGCUAAAACUAGAGACAUAUAUCACCACAUAAUUUCAAGAACAAUAUUCUUGGCAAACAUCAACAAUAAGAAAGAGAAAAAAUGAGAAGAUCUCACAUGAACAGCAGUCAUGUUUUUGCAGAAUCUUAUUAUGCUGGAAGAUUGAAAAUAGCAAUCACACCGUAUAAAUUGAAGAACCACGUGUUUGAGCCUACUGUCAAAAUUUUAACUCAAUCGGACCUCGGAUUGCCUUCCAAUCGUCGUUUGAUCAAAACUGCACAUAGUGAACUAAUUCUACUCCUCCGCCGCUGCCUUCUUUUUUUUACGAAGACUCCUCACGCUGCCUGGCUUCUCCACAUAAAAACUGUCCUAAUGGGCCCCACAUUUUGGGCCAAAAGUUAUUCCAACUAAUAUGGGCUAAAAAUAAUUAAUUGAGCCCACAUUUGUUGAGCUAAGUCUUCUCCAACAUAAGAGGGACAACCCAACAAAUCUCCCCCUCCCGACUAUGUGGAGGGAUUCACCAUCCCAGCGAUCAAUCGACAUGUCAGUCCUAUGUCUAUUGUUGACUUGAAUUAGCAUACAAUAAACAAUACCUAAGUCCACAAAAAAGAUUAUUUUUUGCUUGUUAUAUAUAAAUUGUUUAAUAUCACAGUUGAUUUUGGAAGCUAACCAUCUUUUCUUGGAAGGUGACUCAGCGACAGUGAUUGGUAGGAUAAAUUGAGAUAGCCGACAUUUGGAUGGAUUAUGCAUCUUCACACAACUUAACGGGCCUACCUGGGACUUCUAACAAAGGACACGGUCAACUUAAGCAAAUGGAAAACGUUCUGGGUUGUUGGAAUCACCAGUCCAAACACGCAAGUAGGGAUGUUGAAACGAAUGAUUUUUUAUUAGCUCAUAACCACUGAUCGAAUCAUGUGCCUUACAUUUGUCCAUCACUUAUUGCCUCAUGAUGAAGAUAUGUACACGUACUGCAAAUGGCUACAGGAGUGUCAGUGCCAGCCGCCUGUGGUUCCCACCUAAAGUCAAGUCCAUCGUAUCUUUUCGUUUUCUCGGUAGACAAUUCCAUCCUAUCUUUGAACAUCGCCAACCACGCUGGCUACGUUGGACAAAGAAAACAAAAAAACAAAACGCUUCCUCCUCAGCCUACCCUCCCCCACCGCCCUAUAAAUACUCUUACUGCCCAUCCCACAACCCCACACAAUCCUCAACCAGAGAGCCAUCUUCCUGGGUAUCAAAAUGGCCUCUUCGACCUCCCUUACUCUCUUCUUCUUCCCUUUCCUCCUCCUCACCCUCUCCCACGCCGCCACCUUCGACGUCGUCAACCAAUGUUCCUACACCGUGUGGGCUGCAUGGGCAGACACCGGCAACAACGGCGGCGGCCAGAAGCUCGGCAAGGGCCAGACCUGGACGGUCACCGUCAAUCCCGGCACCCCCCGUGCCCGCAUCUGGGCCCGUACCGGCUGCUCCUUCGAUGCCAACGGCAACGGGAAGUGCCAGACCGGCGACUGCGGCAAGCUCGCCUGCACCUCCUACGGCUCCCCGCCCAACACCCUCGCGGAAUUCGCCCUCAACCAGAACUCCCCACCUUACUACACCAACCGCGACUUCAACGACAUCUCCCUCGUUCAGGGUUUCAACGUGCCCAUGGACUUCCGCUCCACCUCGUCGAGCUGCAGCAUGGAUAUCCAAUGCACCGCCGACGUCGUUGGGAAGUGCCCCAGCAAGCUCAAAGUAACCGGCGGCUGCGAUGACCCAUGCACCAUCUUCAAGACUGCUCAGUACUGCUGCCCGUCCGGCUCAAGCUGCGAUCCAACUACCUAUUCCAAGUUCUUUAAGAGCCUGUGCCCGAAUGCGUAUAGCUACCCGGAUGAUUAUAACAACACCCAAUUCUCCUGCCCCGGUGGGACCAACUAUAAGGUCACCUUCUGCCCUUGAGGCUUUGAGAGCUUGGUGAUCCAUGCAUGCAUGACGCUGUUUGGAGUAUGUGAUAGCUUUGGAAUAAGGUGGUUGUAACCAGAUUUACAGCCCAUUUCACAGGCCUGUAAUGCAGCAGUAAUAGAGUAAUAAAAACGUUGCAUAAUUGUUUGCUGUUAGUAAAUGCGCUCCUCCAUGUUCGAUAUCGUAUAGAUGACUAAUUACAGAGGACAAAGAAGAGAAUACUGUGGCAAGUUGCACUAUCUAUUUGGCAAUCCAUUUCCUAUCAGAUAUGGCACUAGCUAACUCCAACGAUAACUGACCCCACCAAUCGCACCAUCCCCUUUUGACAUGUUGGAUAAGAAAUACAGGUGCAAAAUGCAUCGAAGCUGAUCUUGCAAAUUGAAUCACUACAAAAUUCUUUCAUUAAUCUAUUAAUUGCUGUUCUAAUAUUAACUAUUUACAUGAACUAAGGGAAACUAUUAAUUGGAAACUCUAGAAGAUACAUCCAUGUAUUAUAUUUUAUUUGUUAUGACUGGAAGACUUGGCUUGAGUCUAAUCCAAUUUUAUUGAAUUAAAAUAUAGUACAAACGGUCAGUCAAGGUUACAUUAACCAAUAGGGCUGAAAUUUAACCACCCACAGGCCCCUUGUUUCUUAGGUAGAAUUCAUUUUAAAUUUUUUAUGAUUGGCUAAACUCAUGUAUGUAAGUGAUUAAUAUUUUAAUAGAUAACUUAAAGAAUUAGAUGGAAUUACCCAUAUAUAUAUAUAUAUAUAAACAUCUUCCGUGUGUUACCUUCUAUCAUAUAUAGUAUGUCGGCGUCCCUGUUGCUUACAAACAGAUGCUAUGGCCCAGCCGAAUAAUAUUGGAUUUAGUAUCUUCGGUACAGGAUCAUGAAGUUCGUCACAAGGAAAAAUUUCAUCGUGCACUAAGAUUUUGGAUAACCUGUGCAACAAAGUCCACUCCAUUUGACGAUUAGAUUGGACUAACUCCCAGAAGCCCAUGGAGGAAGUUUCUCAGAACUUGAAUUCCCUGUAAGUUAAGUUGCAAUAGGUUACGUAACUUUUCCGUAGGUUAUAUAUUCACUUAUGCAGCUUUCUUGAUUGCCUUUACAUCAGGAAAAUUUUAGAUUAAAGUAUGCAAGUGGAAUUGGUGUUAUGUGGGAGGAUGCUGAGAGGCCCCUAUUGGUGUUGUGUUGCAAUAGGUCCAGCUUCACUGGAUCGGGGCCCAAGCCCUAUUCAUUGAGGGAACCACCUUAACGGUUCCUCGAAUAAGAACGGGGCAUAAGAGAAGCCGUAGACUUUCUCUUGUCCCCUCUCACACCUGCCUCUCUCUCUCUCUCNNNNNNNNNNNNNNNNNNNNUCUCUCUCUCUCUCUCUCUCUCUCUCUCUCUCUCUCUCACUCACUCACUCACUGUCACGCGCUCUCUAGAUCGAUCUCUAUCUAAAUCUCACACGCUCUCUCUCUCUCUCUCCGAUGUCUCUCUCUCCUAUGCUCUUUCUCUCUUACUCACUUCUUCUUCUCCUCCUUUUCUUUCUUUUUCUCUCUUUAUAUCUCACAGCUAGCCCCAAAGGUGAUUGAAUCGGCAUCCAAAAUAUUCCCAAAGUACAUAAAACUCUAUUGUCCGUUGGAGUAAAGAAAGACAGCCAUCAUAAGACGUCUAAAUAGGUCUAGGCCGAAAAUAUAUAAUUUAUCAAUCUGAUAAUUACUGCAAAACACUGUGCCAAUGAACGUAUGUACUAGAGAAUAAAUAGCAUCAAAUAUCAAAAUCAUUGGGAGUGGAAGCCAGACACAGUGGCAAUCGUCAAAGUGGACAAUUAUUAUCUAUUAGUAUAAAUAAGUGAAAACUAUACCUUAUAUAGAUCCCUUCGACAAUUCAAAUCAAGAAUUAUAAUUUAUUUUAGUUCUUAAUCUACCAGUAGUUUCUACUCUUGGAGUAGCUGCAGUAACUUAAAAUCUCUACUAGUGCAGUCCAAUGCUACGCCUCUAUUUCUAUUCGGAUAUAUUUCUUUUAAGGAGUGGUAUGACGGUGAUGAAAGUCUUUGAAGGUCCAGGUACCUAGAUCCUUGCUACUCUUUGUCCUCUCUUCAAUCAUUAUCAUGUCAGCUGAUUCGACGUCGUUUGCAUGCCAUGCACCCACCAUAACUUUGCCACCCAACUUGUGUGGACAAGUUCUCUAGCAUGCCCAUUCCUUAGGUGGUGCGAGAGUGACUUCACGAUGACAAAUAGGUGAAACAUCGACAAAUUGUGAUUAUAGCUACCUUAGAGGUUAAGUGUUAAUUUAAAGGCUAAUCAUGUUCUAUAUCAUUCUUGUUACUAAGAAAAGUCAUCAGCCUAAUAUAGGGGUAACGACCUAAUUAAGCAGUAUCAGUGCUUAUCAAGAAGUCAGCAUGUCAGAAAUGGAGAUAGAUAGUUCAAAAACUAAAAUUGACUUUAGCAAACUUCAAGGGAAAGUGAUCAAAAUGGUGUUAAUUAAUCGAAGAUGUCAGGUGUCAGUGUUAGAGAGAGACAAUUGUUUAGAUCCAGAGAAGGGACAUUUUCUCUAUUCAAUGAUCAACAUUUUCAUUUUCAUCCCUUCUGCUAAUUUUGUUAUUUCUUUAUAUCCUCUAGCUUUUAUCCUUUAUCCUCAAUAGCAUAGCGUUGUAGCUAUCGCUUCCAUCUCUAGGAAGGCAGCAUCUAAUAGCGGAAGUCCCCAUAGAUUAAGAUGAGACAGCGGAACGUACCACCAUUUAUUCUUUUCGGUUGGAACAUCCAUGUUACGCCAGCGCAUCCAUCAAAUCCAACUAUUAAUUGCCAACUAGGAUGCAGGUUAAGUUGCUGCACUAUAAAAAGAAAAAAAACAAAACAUUAGUGAUGCUUUUUAUUGCCUAUACCGAAGCUUAUAAGCAUUAUUAGUUUUAUUAGUGAUACCUUAUAAAGCGUCGCAAAAGCGUCGAUUAUAUGAACGUUGAAAAAUGAAAUUGACGACGCUUGGAGAAAGCAUCGCUAACUGCCGACGCUUAUAAGUGUUUGCUAAUAGUAACGCUUAAUUGCAUCGCCAGUUAGCAACGCUACAAAAUAUCACUAAUAUUUUUUUAUAACAACGCUUUAAAACGUCAUUAUAUUUUAUUUUUUUUGAAAAAAAUAUUUAAAUUUUUUUUAAAACUCUGUAUAUAUGUACAUGCUAAAAGCAUCUUUAAAUAUGCUCGUUAUAUCAUUUUCUUAUACAAGAUUUCUUUUCAUGUUACUGGAUCCAAAACUAGAAGUGUGUUAUAAAUAGGAGGGUUGGUUACAUGGAGUCGGCAAUAUGGAUUCUCUAUGAAAUACCCAUUCAGUAUAACCUUUUAGAAAACCAUUGUACACAAAUAUUUUUCAAUAGUUUUUGGAGCGAGAAAAGAACUGUCUACAUAUUUUCGAUAUGGAUAUAAAAUCUUUUCGUUCAUAUUAGAUUUCUUAAAAGCAAAUUUAAUAAAAUUCUGAACUCCAUCCAAAUAUUCGGCACCGGAUUUCGAUUUAUUUAUCCAACUUUUGUCCAUUCGAUUAGAAUAUUGAUUGAACUAUAACUUAUCUAAAAAAGAUAAAUAAAAUUAGGGUAUAAAGAAGGAUGGCAUAAAAUUUAUUCAAUGAAAAGAUCAAAGAAGAGGAUGUUAAUAAACACGUGGCUGGAGAACGAUACAUUGUUCAACCAAACAUAUGGAUUCAAGUGGAUACUGAAAAAUUAUAACCAAACAUAUGGAUUCAAGUGGAUACUGAAAAAUUAUACAAAAGAAGUGUUCUUUAAUGGUAGUCAAAGAUGUUUAGAAUUCGUAAUUAAAUAGGUGCACUUGAGACAACUAGUUGUUGGGGGAUUUAAAAACAUAAGAAAAACUAAUGCCAUUUUUACAGCAUAUAACUGCAUUUAGGAAGAAAAUAAGGAACUCUAAUGGGUUGAUACUUUGACUUAAAAGUCAGACAAGGUUCCAUUAUAAUUUUGGGUUCAGGUUGGGUCUUUGGCAUGAAAGAACAUUUGAUAUUCUUUCGCCUGUGGGACCGUCCGAUGGGGAUGAGCAUGUUGAGAUUGGGGCGGAUGGGGAAACAGAGUCGAAACUGAAGAGAGCCGUUAAGGCCAAUAUGCAUGAUUAAUCAGAGUAGCACAACAAUACAAAAAAAAAAGAAUAAGAUAAGAUAAGAUAAGGAAAAGUGAAUCAUUAAUCAACACAAUGGAACCUCAUUCUCUAAUGGUGUUUGCAUAAGCUAAUCAGAGGCUCGAAUCAAUAAUGGUAUCAAAACUACAAAAUCCACAAGAAAUAAAAAAUGAACUGCAGAUAUUUAAUUCUUUUGGAAAAUAAAAUAUAAGAAAGAAAAGAAGAACAACAGUCAUCUUAGUACUGAAAACAAGAAAGCUCUCUGAUAAAAAAUUGGCAUUGAACAAAUUAUGGAUUCAAGAAACUGAGCAAACUAAAUCUUCGGUUCAUUGAACCAAAUAAACAGAAAGGGACCAAAGGGUACAGCACAAAUCCGAAAAGGAGAGCAAGGAACAUUAAGAAGCAUGAGCUGAACAACUCCCCAAGCUUCUCCGGGACAAAAUCCUCGGUGCUCGGCCCUCGACAUGAGGCCUCCACCAAAAAUAUCACCAGGGAGGUCGGUUGGUCGGUCGGCGCCGGAGAGAAAGGAAGAGGAGAAAGAUACCUGUGACGGAUGGAGACGGAGCUCGAUAGGAGGAUUGGGAUUGGUCGGUCGGCGCCGGAGAGAAGAAAAAGAAAGUUAGGAUUGGUGGAAAAUGAGGGCUAGUGGGUCGCGUAUUAGGGUUUUUUAGUGGGGUGUUAGCCUCCAACGAUGCUCAUAAGCAUCGUCUUAGGUCCUUGCCCUCUGACGAUACUUAGAAAUAUCGUCUUAGGUCCUAGGCUUCCGACGACGCUUAUAAAUGUUUUCUUAGAUUAGUGUUUAGGCGGAGUUCAGUGGAAGUUAGUGUUAAGAAAGUGUCUAGUGUGUAGAAUUCUAACGACGCUUUUAAGCGUCGUUUGCUCCUUUUCCUCAUUCUAUUUUUUUGGCCUCCAACGAUACUUAUAAAUGUCGUCUUACAAUUUAAUUUCAACGAUGCUAAUUAGUGAUGUCAUAGUUUCAUCCCUGCAGACACUACUUAAAAGUGUCGACAAAUUUUGACACCGAAGACAAAAUUACUGACGCUUCUACCUAACAUGAACAUGUAUAUGUCAGCAUUUUUCCCUUUUUCUGGAGUGCUGCAUCUCAACCUAAUGCUGCAACUUGAGUCAUUGUAGCCCGACAUUUUGUAGCACUCCAAAAUCUUCGAGUGGCCUAGUGGCGGAAAACUAUGAGCCCCCCCAAAAAAAAUAGUUAUACUGUAAAAAUAUUCACACAUAUGUUGAACUAUUUGAUUACAAAGAACAUGUAUUAUAAUCUCUAAGAUAUUUUUUAUUGGAAAAAGGUUCUAUAUAUUCGUGCUUAUACAAAAUAAUAAAUCUCCUGCUACACUUUGGGAAUUCACAUGCAUUUGCCAUUAGUCCAAUGAUCUCCCAUGAUGGCAACACGAGAAAAUAUAUAGUUUUAAUACUUUAAAGGGUUCAACAAAAUUACAAAAUUAUCCAACCAUUAUUAUUAGGGAACUUUUUUCUUAAAACAAGUUUAAAUUUAUUAGAUCACCAAAAAUAAUCAUUAAUAAAAAUUAAACUUUAAUGAGCUUUUUGUACGCGUUACACGUGUUGAAAAUGCCAAUCUUUGAGACGCCGAUGUACCGCGAGAACAUUGCCCUUCAUUUUUCCACUCCUCCCGUCACAGCCGCCUGUGGUCCCCACAUAAAGUCCAGUCCAUCCCAUCUUUGACUAUUAUAAACUGCACAGGCUGCGCUGGUUAUAAUAAUAAUAUAAAAAAAAUGCCUACCUUAAAGAGUGACUCGGCCACAGUUGGAUCCAAAAAAUUUCAGGGGUAACAGAUGCGAUCAUCCUUUACUCCGAGAUAUCUGCGUAAUAUUGAGGAAUGGUGGAGCCUUCCAGAUCUAGUAUAUUUUUCGAAAAGUCAAUAGAGCUGCGGAUUGAAUAGUUGCUUAUAUGGCCAGUCACUCCGGCAGUACCAUAUAAACUGGAGAUGGAGAGUUAUUUUAGGCACUUCAAAGCAUUUUGUUUUCUGACUUUAUUGGGUGUAUGGUAUAAGAACACGUGCCGCGCGUCCCAACACCCCACACAAUCCUCAACUAGAAAGCCAUCUUCCUGGAUAUCAAAAUGGGCUCCUCGACCUCCCUCACUCUCCUCUUCUUCCCCUUCCUCCUCCUCACCCUCUCCCACGCCGCCACCUUCGACGUCGUCAAUCAAUGUUCCUACACCGUGUGGGCUGCAUGGGCAGACACCAGUAACCUCGGCGGCGGCCAGCAGCUCAGCAAGGGCCAGACCUGGACGGUCACCGUCAAUCCCGGCACCCCCCGUGCCCGCAUAUGGGCCCGUACUGGCUGCUCCUUCGAUGCC